Long non-coding RNA from Apis laboriosa (Himalayan honeybee), 2197 nucleotides. RefSeq lists it as uncharacterized. The record is from RefSeq and is a predicted model, not a curated record. The transcript has 7 exons. NCBI's taxonomy places the organism in Eukaryota, Metazoa, Arthropoda, Insecta, Hymenoptera, Apidae.
UUUUAAUCUUGAAAAUAUUUUUCAUGAUAAAUGAAAAUAGAUUGAUCUGAAAAGUGAAAUUGUAUUUUUUUUUCAAUUUAAUUUAAAAUAUUAAUUUAAUUUUCAUUAAAAUGUUUACUUAUUUAAGUAUACAUGUAUUUCUUACUUGUAGACAUUGUUGUGAUAUUUGUUAUAACUUGCAUAAGCCAGAAGUACACCAAAACCUGGUCCAAGAGAGAAAAACACUUGCGUUGCUGCAUCCACCCAGACCUGAAAAAGAUUAUUCUUUCCCAUAAGAAUAAAACGUGCACGAUUCCACUUUCUAAAUCUACAAAUUUUCGAAAUUAAUAAAUUUCCUUCGUCGCUGUAUAAAUUCUAUUUCACCGAUCUCUGGAAGCAAUGGUUCGAAGGUGCUAUAGAAAAAUGCAUUUCACUUGCGAAUCAAGAGGGUCGAACGCGGCUCACCACUGGAACGAAAAUCUAAUGGUCAUUAUGACAGAUUUUUAUUCCUCGCCAUGACUGGUGUAAAUGGCUAUUUCAUAACGUCGCGAUUAUCCACUGAAAGGCGAUUCGUUAAAUCCGACGAAGUGGAGGAACGCAUGAUGAAGCAAGAGAAGUGAAAAUAGUUUAUAGUGAUAUAAAAAAGGAUGGAAAUAUGUUUUGUAUUAUUACUUGAAACUGGAUUUUUUUGAAGAAAUUCAAGUCAUUUUACACAUUAUACUCACUUGAAAUAUUCUUGAGCAGCGCUUGUGUACCACGUGCUAUUGUAUCCUUGAUUCGAAUUCCUAUCCAAACGGUCCUCGAUCAGAGAUGAAUUGCCAGGAUAUGUGGAGUCGAGCGUGUCGACGAAAUAUGCAUCGUCGAACAUGUAGUCCAAGGUAAAAGACUUGCGAACGAGGCGAAGAAGUACCUCAAUGCCCAGGCGAUGAUCACAUUAUAAUAGAAAUCGACGUAGAAUGCAAUUAAUACCACUGCGUAGCCAAUUCCUACGCACAGAUAAAAAAUUAUAUAUAAAAAGGAUUAAAAAAUCUCCAAGGACGUGUCCUUAUGUCCUGGUUCCCAGCCGGAGAAUAUUCCAUUAUCCUCCCGUGGGGAGGCCGUAUCUUCACCGUCACGAAUCAAUUACGUCGUUCAUCGAUGCGGAUCAAAAGGGAAAAAACGCGCGUAAGACAAGAGAGUCGAGAGAGAGAAAAAAAAUCUGGUUCCAUCGAUCAUCUCACGCCAGGGUAGCCCGAGAUUGAGAUCGUCACGAUCCAGGAAAUCGGCGGAAAUGGGGGACUACUUCUCGAGUGGUCUUCCAUCCUCGGAUUUUCCCGGAUUUAUACCGCGUUACAUAAUGUACCGUGUGGGGAAGAAAGGAAGAAAAGAAAAUAUAACAUCUAAUGUCUAAUGCACGGUUUCCGGUGAAGAUGACGGUAAAGUGCUUUGAAACGUUUUCCAGAAAUGUUCUGAGAGGCAAUCGGAAUAGUAAUUGGCCAGCAGUGCUGUUACCUCUAUUGUUGAUGAAGUCUAUUCGGUGAAUGGUAUCGAGUGGAUGGGGGUAUUUUAACGCGAUUAUUUCAAAGCUGGGUGAUUUUUUUUGUAAAAAAGUAUUGAGAACAGUUAUUGAAAUUGUCUUUGAUCGAAAGAAGGUGAAAAAUAAUGGAAAAUCGUCUUACUUACCUUUUAAAAGUGGUACCAAACGACCCCAGCAAGUGAUCGCACCUUUUCGAUUGAACUGACCCAAGGCAAGCUCCAUAUAAAACAAUGGAAUACCUCCUACUACUAACAUUAUACAAUAUGGAACCAGGAAAGCGCCUGUGAACACAAUUCACAACAUUUUUGUGAAUUGUAGUCAUUUUUUAUUAAGAACUAAUAAUAAAAAUUUAUUUAAACAGAACAGUAUCAAAUAUAAUAUAAAAAUAUAACAUAAAUAAAAGAAUAAUUUUUUUUAAUUUUUUGAAUAACAUUUAAAUAUUGAUCAGAUAACAAAUUAAUGUUUGACAAUUGUGAUAAUAUAUCUUACAAAAUAUAUUUGUUAAUAUUUUCAAUAUUUUAAAAUUGCAAUAAAAAUUGCAAUAAAAGAAAUAAUAUUUGAUUUUGAAAAAUUUCUUGUUGGUUCAGAAUUGCAAUUAAUUUCUGAUUAUUAAAGAUCUCUCGAAUACUUUUCUGUCACAUAUUGAAUAAAUAUUGAAAUGAAAUUUCAUCAGAUAAUAAUUGGAAAAUCGUUGUUUAAUAU